AUACAGUUGACGAGUCCCAAAUAGGACGAGACGCGCGUCCUGGAU
Molecule: non-coding RNA, 45 nt
Filed under: Schistosoma mansoni
Lineage: Eukaryota; Metazoa; Platyhelminthes; Trematoda; Strigeidida; Schistosomatidae
Source: RNAcentral